CGCUACAGGUGUCCCAAAGAUUCUCCAACGUCCCCUUAAUAAUGUGUGGAAGUGUGUAUAUAUAAUACUUUAUUCCUACUCCUAUUGGGAUUAAAAGAUGUAAAGAUUCCCAUAUUCCUAAGCUGCCUAAAAAUGUGGGGAAAAUAUUAUAAAAUAGGAGCGUGAAAUAGCGUGCAAUUGAGCAUGUAAGUAGAGCAUGCGACUCAUCCCUUAGAGCACGGCAAUGAAGCAUGCGACGCACGCUAUACUGCACAGUAAUGGACCAUGCGAUGCAUCCUUAUCUCUGGCAGCCACUAGAAGUUGAUCUCAUAAUAUUUUCUAAGGCACAAGAGCACUGAAUUGGAGCAGAGCACUGAAUUGGAGCAGGUGUCACACGCUCAUCGUACGCACACACUGGAAGUUGAGUUCAAAAUUUUAGUGAAGUCUUUAUCGUCCCAUCUUUCAUCUCUUGUAUCGUGG
Molecule: long non-coding RNA, 459 nt
Filed under: Capsicum annuum
Lineage: Eukaryota; Viridiplantae; Streptophyta; Magnoliopsida; Solanales; Solanaceae
Description: long non-coding RNA (CANN_LNC007084)
Source: RNAcentral